AACCUAUGAUGAGGGCACCUUCUCAAUAGAUCCUUAAAUCUCUCCCAUGCAUCAUACAAUGUCUCCAAAUAAUUUGAGCAAAAGAAGAGAUAUCAGUCCUCAACUU
Molecule: small nucleolar RNA, 106 nt
Filed under: Gossypium hirsutum (cotton)
Lineage: Eukaryota; Viridiplantae; Streptophyta; Magnoliopsida; Malvales; Malvaceae
Description: Plant small nucleolar RNA R71
Rfam family: Plant small nucleolar RNA R71
About the family: R71 is a member of the C/D box family of snoRNAs containing the C (UGAUGA) and D (CUGA) box motifs. Multiple nearly identical copies of this snoRNA have been identified in Arabidopsis, and it is thought to function as a 2'-O-ribose methylation guide for 18S ribosomal RNA.
Source: Rfam by way of RNAcentral